This 422-nucleotide ribosomal RNA is filed under the name uncultured cyanobacterium. Its description in RNAcentral is "bacterial SSU rRNA". It matches the Rfam family "Bacterial small subunit ribosomal RNA", at positions 358 to 795 of the family's 1533-position model. Lineage: Bacteria; Bacillati; Cyanobacteriota. The record is from RNAcentral.
GGAAUUUUCCGCAAUGGGCGAAAGCCUGACGGAGCAACGCCGCGUGAGGGAUGAAGGCCUCUGGGCUGUAAACCUCUUUUAUCAAGGAAGAAGAUCUGGCGGUACUUGAUGAAUAAGCCACGGCUAAUUCCGUGCCAGCAGCCGCGGUAAUACGGGAGUGGCAAGCGUUAUCCGGAAUUAUUGGGCGUAAAGCGUCCGCAGGCGGUCUUUUAAGUCUGCUGUUAAAGCGUGGAGCUUAACUCCAUUUCGGCAGUGGAAACUGGAAGACUAGAGUGUGGUAGGGGCAGAGGGAAUUCCCGGUGUAGCGGUGAAAUGCGUAGAUACCGGGAAGAACACCAGUGGCGAAGGCGCUCUGCUGGGCCAUAACUGACGCUCAUGGACGAAAGCCAGGGGAGCGAAAGGGAUUAGAUACCCCAGUAGUC